Molecule: non-coding RNA, 189 nt
Organism: Notechis scutatus (mainland tiger snake)
Lineage: Eukaryota; Metazoa; Chordata; Lepidosauria; Squamata; Elapidae
Source: RefSeq, a predicted model, not a curated record
AUGCACAGAGAUAGAAGGUUUCAACACUACCCAACAUUGGAGGAAUGGUUGGUGAAAUGGACAGAUCUCGCUGAAAUGGUGAGGAGCUUUCAUGCGGUGGUGUGGAACCUGGGCCCUCCGGAUGGUGCUGAAGGACAGCUCCCGAGGAAGGCCGCCUUCACAUUGGCCAUUUUGACUGGAGACUGCUGG